Molecule: ribosomal RNA, 763 nt
Filed under: Globigerinoides ruber albus
Lineage: Eukaryota; Foraminifera; Rotaliida; Globigerinidae
Description: SSU rRNA
Rfam family: Eukaryotic small subunit ribosomal RNA
Source: RNAcentral
AAUCUUACCGGGUCCGGACGUAUCGAGGAUUGACAGAUAGUUAUACAUGCCCUACAAGCAAGUAGGAGUCAGGUUUUAAACCUAAUGGCUCUUUCAUGAUUAUAUGAUAGGUGGUGCAUGGCCGUUCUUAGUUCGUGGAGUGAUCUGUCUGCUUAAUUGCGUUUCAAAUUUUUAACCGAGGACCGGGUUUUGGUUUGGCUAGUGGUCCUACGAUGACUGUGAACUGUCAUGUCUUCGGAUGUACGACUAUCGGUCUAGGAUCACAUGACUUGCCCCUGGGACUCUUUUGAACGCAACGGACGUGAUUGCAACCCCUUGUUGAGAUUAGAGAUAGUCUCGAUAUUCACUGGCCAAACUGGCUGCUUUAUGCAGUCUUGUUGAAUGGUGGAUAAACUCGGGGGACUGCUGACUAUAACCAUUUCUCAAAACAGAGGAAGGUUGCGGCAAUAACAGGUCUGUGAUGCCCUCAGAUGUCCCGGGCUGCACACGUGCUACAAUGAGUGGCGCAAUGUGCUAAUGUUUUAAGGGAUAAGCGUGCGGCCAGUAGAACGUCGGCAAUUGCCCUGGCGUCUUCUACCGCACGAUUAUCAGCCUUCCCUUAACAGGGCGGGCAACCUUUUCAAAAUACCGGUUUGAUGUUAAAGUAUAGAGUCGUUUUUUUUGGAUGGUGGUUUACGAACCAAUACCAUCCGCAACUGCUCGCGAGUUUGUGGUUCUGGUGACUCAUGGUGGGGACCGAUGUUUGUAAUUGUUUGUCGCGUGU